Molecule: ribosomal RNA, 747 nt
Filed under: Triticum aestivum (bread wheat)
Lineage: Eukaryota; Viridiplantae; Streptophyta; Magnoliopsida; Poales; Poaceae
Description: partial small subunit ribosomal RNA
Source: RNAcentral
AUGGAGGAGAGGCUGAAACUAAGUCGCGACAGCACAACGGAGGAAGUGGAUGCUACGCAGUACCGACGCCUUGUGGGGAGCCUUCGCUACCUCACUCACACACGGCCGGACUUGGCAUUCUCCGUCGGCUAUGUCAGUCGGUUCAUGGAGCGACCAACGUCGGAACACCAGCAGGCAGUGAAGAGGAUCGUCCGCUACAUAGCAGGGACCCUCGACCACGGCCUCCAUUACCCUAGGUGCCCUGGGGCGGCACACUUCGUCGGAUACAGCGACAGCGACCACGCCGGCGACAUCGACACCAGCAAGAGCACGAGCGGGAUCCUCCUCUUCCUCGGCAAGUGUCUCGUGAGCUGGCAAUCAGUCAAGCAGCAGGUGGUGGCCCUGUCCAGCUGUGAGGCUGAGUACAUAGCGGCCUCCACCGCCUGUACUCGGGCGCUCUGGCUUGCUCGACUGCUUGGUGAUCUUCUCGUUCAAGACACCAGAACGGUGCAGCUCCUGGUGGACAGCAAGUCCGCCCUGGCCCUGGCAAAGAACCCCGUGUUCCACGAACGGAGCAAGCACAUCCGACUGAGGUAUCACUUCAUCUGCAGCUGUGUGGAAGAAGGGAGCAUCGAGGCGAACUACAUCAACACCAAGGAUCAGCUCGCAGACCUGCUCACCAAGCCCCUUGGGAGGGUCAAGUUCCUCGAACUUUGCUCCAGGAUUGGGAUGAUUCAACUCUCCCACAAGACGACGUACAAGACUUAG